This 650-nucleotide long non-coding RNA is filed under the name Physcomitrium patens. RNAcentral describes it as "long non-coding RNA (PPAT_LNC007048)". The record is from RNAcentral. Lineage: Eukaryota; Viridiplantae; Streptophyta; Bryopsida; Funariales; Funariaceae.
GACUACCUUUGAUUUGUAUCGGUGCAAAAGUGUGAUUACUCGUUUUACUUAUUCCAAAUUAAUCUAAUGGAAAUAAACCCGUAUAGGAAGAUUCGAACAUGAAGAAUAAUUAGUUGCUUAAGCAUUCACGUUAAGGUCACACAAUCAAUUACCUCCUGAAUGUAUCGUCUCUAUUUUCAAUAUCUAAACACACAAGGAAACUAUAAUCUCCUUCUUCACUUUAUUGGUCUCUUCUUUACAGUAAUUCAGUCAUACCAAUAACUGCUAUUUCCACCAAUAUAUUCACCCUCAUAAUCUCCAACUAUAAUACUGCGCCCUCAUAGCUUUCAGCAUACAAUUAUCCUCAUUCCAAUCAUUGGAAUUCUUCACACAAAACUGCCAUUCAUAUUACGGUGUUUCAUACAAACACAGACUCAUUUUCUCUGUUGAACUAUAAUCAAAUUUCAGCAUUCAAUCUUUCUUCUUCUCAAAUAAUACCAAUCAUAUUUCCAUUCCAUAAUUCACUUCACAAUAUUUAGAAACUCUCAAUCCUCUUAUUCAAAGAAAAUAACAAACAAAAGAAAAGAGGUAGCACUAAGCUUACCUCGGCUCACAACUAUCACAGCAAUGGUACCUUAAUUAACUUCUACAACUCUUAUAUACUUUCUCCU